Notothenia coriiceps (black rockcod) is the source of this 226-nucleotide long non-coding RNA. RefSeq lists it as uncharacterized. NCBI's taxonomy places the organism in Eukaryota, Metazoa, Chordata, Actinopteri, Perciformes, Nototheniidae. The record is from RefSeq and is a predicted model, not a curated record. The transcript has 3 exons.
AGUUCUUCAGGGUUACAGAGAAGACUUUGGACAACACCUCAGACCUGAUUGGCCUAGUCCAAGAGCUCUGAUGGACUCAGGACCACUCCAGAGAUAUGGCUCCCUCCGAUACCAACAGAGUCACAGCUCAGACCCACUUCAGCAUCUUCCAACUAACUCAGGUGGAGCAGAGCACAUCAGAGCCCUGCAGCAUCAUGCACAGACGGCUGGUCACCACUUCCAAGGU